RNAcentral lists this ribosomal RNA (1402 nucleotides) under Paenibacillus polymyxa. Its description in RNAcentral is "partial 23S ribosomal RNA". It matches the Rfam family "Bacterial large subunit ribosomal RNA", at positions 1 to 1406 of the family's 2925-position model. The record is from RNAcentral. Lineage: Bacteria; Bacillati; Bacillota; Bacilli; Caryophanales; Paenibacillaceae.
CUACAAAGAGCACACGGAGGAUGCCUAGGCGCCAGGAGCCGACGAAGGACGUGGCGAACAACGAUAAGGCCUCGGGGAGCUGUAAGCAAGCUUUGAUCCGGGGAUGUCCGAAUGGGGAAACCCGGCUGUCUUCAUCGACAGUCACUACUCACUGAAUUCAUAGGUGAGUGAGAGGCAGACCAGGGGAACUGAAACAUCUAAGUACCCUGAGGAAGAGAAAACAAUAGUGAUUCCGUCAGUAGCGGCGAGCGAACGCGGAUUAGCCCAAACCAAGGAGCUUGCUCCUUGGGGUUGUGGGACGUCUCACAUGGAGUUACAAAGGAACCGGUUAGAUGAAGAGGUCUGGAAAGGCCCGCCAGAGAAGGUAAAAGCCCUGUAGUUCAAAACUUGUUCCCUCCGAGACGGAUCCCGAGUAGUGCGGGGCACGUGAAACCCCGUAUGAAUCCGGCAGGACCAUCUGCCAAGGCUAAAUACUCCCUGGCGACCGAUAGUGAAGCAGUACCGUGAGGGAAAGGUGAAAAGCACCCCGGAAGGGGAGUGAAAUAGAUCCUGAAACCGUGUGCUUACAAGAAGUCAGAGCCCGAUCUAUGGGUGAUGGCGUGCCUUUUGUAGAAUGAACCGGCGAGUUACGUUCCCGUGCAAGGUUAAGGUGAAGAGCUGAAGCCGCAGCGAAAGCGAGUCUGAAUAGGGCGAAUGAGUACGUGGACGUAGACCCGAAACCGGGUGAUCUACCCCUGUCCAGGGUGAAGGUGCGGUAACACGCACUGGAGGCCCGAACCCACGCAUGUUGAAAAAUGCGGGGAUGAGGUGGGGGUAGCGGAGAAAUUCCAAUCGAACCCGGAGAUAGCUGGUUCUCCCCGAAAUAGCUUUAGGGCUAGCCUCGGAAAGAAGAAUCGUGGAGGUAGAGCACUGAUUGGGUGCGGGGCCCGCAAGGGUUACCAAGCUCAGUCAAACUCCGAAUGCCAUAGAUUUAGUUCCGGGAGUCAGACAGUGAGUGCUAAGAUCCAUUGUCGAAAGGGAAACAGCCCAGACCAUCAGCUAAGGUCCCCAAGUGUGUGUUAAGUGGGAAAGGAUGUGGAGUUGCACAGACAACCAGGAUGUUGGCUUAGAAGCAGCCACCAUUGAAAGAGUGCGUAAUAGCUCACUGGUCGAGUGACUCUGCGCCGAAAAUGUAACGGGGCUAAACACACCACCGAAGCUAUGGCUUGAUGCUUGCAUCAGGGGUAGGGGAGCGUUGAAUGCGGGUUGAAGGUGUACCGGAAGGAGCGCUGGACUGCAUUCAAGUGAGAAUGCCGGUAUGAGUAACGAAAAGAUCUGUGAGAAUCAGAUCCGCCGAAAGCCUAAGGGUUCCUGAGGAAGGUUCGUCCGCUCAGGGUAAGUCGGGACCUAAGGCGAGGCCGAU